UGCAUUCACUACUGUAAGUUGCUCUGGAUAAGAGCGUCUGCCAAGUGACUAAAA
Non-coding RNA from Salmo salar (Atlantic salmon), 54 nucleotides. The record is from Rfam. Lineage: Eukaryota; Metazoa; Chordata; Actinopteri; Salmoniformes; Salmonidae.